UAGGGAAUCUUCCGCAAUGGACGCAAGUCUGACGGAGCAACGCCGCGUGAGUGAUGAAGGUUUUCGGAUCGUAAAGCUCUGUUGCCCUAGACGAAUAGCAAGGCGAGUAACUGCGCUUUGUGUGACGGUAUAGGAGAAGAAAGCCCCGGCUAACUACGUGCCAGCAGCCGCGGUAAUACGUAGGGGGCAAGCGUUGUCCGGAAUUAUUGGGCGGAAAGCGCGCGCAGGCGGUCAUUUAAGUCUGGUGUUUAAUCCUGGGGCUCAAC
This 266-nucleotide ribosomal RNA is filed under the name uncultured Paenibacillus sp. RNAcentral's name for it is "partial 16S ribosomal RNA". It matches the Rfam family "Bacterial small subunit ribosomal RNA", at positions 355 to 613 of the family's 1533-position model. Lineage: Bacteria; Bacillati; Bacillota; Bacilli; Caryophanales; Paenibacillaceae. The record is from RNAcentral.